GCACAGAAGUUAGCCGGUGAUUCCUUUGGAUGGUACAGUCAUUUAUUUCGUCCCAUCUGACAGCGGUUUACACUCCACAGAGCGUCUUCCCGCACACGGUAUUGCUGCGUCAGACUUUCGUCCAUUGCGCAAGAUUCCCUA
Molecule: ribosomal RNA, 141 nt
Filed under: uncultured bacterium
Lineage: Bacteria
Description: partial 16S ribosomal RNA
Source: RNAcentral